GGAACCAAACUUAGAUUCACAUGCGAGUCGAGCGGAAACGAUCCUAGCUUGCUAGGAGGCGUCGAGCGGCGGACGGGUGAGUAAUGCAUAGGAAUCUGCCCGGUAGUGGGGGAUAACUUGAGGAAACUCAAGCUAAUACCGCAUACGCCCCAAGGGGGAAAGCAGGGGAUCUUCGGACCUUGCGCUAUCGGAUGAGCCUAUGUCGGAUUAGCUAGUUGGUGAGGUAAUGGCUCACCAAGGCCGCGAUCCGUAGCUGGUCUGAGAGGAUGAUCAGCCACAUCGGGACUGAGACACGGCUCGAACUCCUACGGGAGGCAGCAGUGGGGAAUAUUGGACAAUGGGCGAAAGCCUGAUCCAGCCAUGCCGCGUGUGUGAAGAAGGCCUUCGGGUUGUAAAGCACUUUCAGCGAGGAAGAACGCUUGUGGGUUAAUACCCUGCAAGAAGGACAUCACUCGCAGAAGAAGCACCGGCUAACUCCGUGCCAGCAGCCGCGGUAAUACGGAGGGUGCAAGCGUUAAUCGGAAUUACUGGGCGUAAAGCGCGCGUAGGCGGCUUGAUAAGCCGGUUGUGAAAGCCCCGGGCUCAACCUGGGAACGGCAUCCGGAAC
This is a ribosomal RNA of 607 nucleotides. It matches the Rfam family "Bacterial small subunit ribosomal RNA", at positions 38 to 633 of the family's 1533-position model.